RNAcentral lists this ribosomal RNA (253 nucleotides) under uncultured bacterium. RNAcentral describes it as "partial 16S ribosomal RNA". It matches the Rfam family "Bacterial small subunit ribosomal RNA", at positions 524 to 776 of the family's 1533-position model. The record is from RNAcentral.
UACGAAGGGUGCAAGCGUUACUCGGAAUUACUGGGCGUAAAGCGUGCGCAGGCGGUUGUGCAAGACAGAUGUGAAAUCCCCGGGCUUAACCUGGGAACUGCAUUUGUGACUGCACGGCUAGAGUGCGGCAGAGGGGGAUGGAAUUCCGCGUGUAGCAGUGAAAUGCGUAGAUAUGCGGAGGAACACCGAUGGCGAAGGCAAUCCCCUGGGCCUGCACUGACGCUCAUGCACGAAAGCGUGGGGAGCAAACAGG